This 251-nucleotide ribosomal RNA is filed under the name uncultured bacterium. Its description in RNAcentral is "partial 16S ribosomal RNA". It matches the Rfam family "Bacterial small subunit ribosomal RNA", at positions 29 to 303 of the family's 1533-position model. The record is from RNAcentral.
AGCGAACGCUGGCGGCAGGCCUAACACAUGCAAGUCGAGCGGCCGUAGCAAUACGGCAGCGGCAGACGGGAGAGUAACACGUGGGAACGUGCCCUUUGGUUCGGAAUAACGCAGGGAAACUUGCGCUAAUACCGAAUAAGCCCUUACGGGAAAGAUUUAUCGCCAUUGGAGCGGCCCGCGUCUGAUUAGCUAGUUGGGUGGGGUAACGGCGUCACCAAGGACGACGAUCAGUAGCUGGUCUGAGAGGAUGA